AGCGGACCGAAGGGAGCUUGCUCCUUUAGGUUAGCGGCGGACGGGUGAGUAACACGUGGGCAACCUGCCCUGCAGACUGGGAUAACUUCGGGAAACCGGAGCUAAUACCGGAUAACACCGAAAACCGCAUGGUUUUCGGUUGAAAGGCGGCCUUUAGCUGUCACUGCAGGAUGGGCCCGCGGCGCAUUAGCUAGUUGGUGAGGUAACGGCUCACCAAGGCGACGAUGCGUAGCCGACCUGAGAGGGUGACCGGCCACACUGGGACUGAGACACGGCCCAGACUCC
This 285-nucleotide ribosomal RNA is filed under the name unidentified marine bacterioplankton. RNAcentral describes it as "partial 16S ribosomal RNA". It matches the Rfam family "Bacterial small subunit ribosomal RNA", at positions 65 to 339 of the family's 1533-position model. The record is from RNAcentral.